CCUCUCUCUCUCUCUCUCUUUUUUUUCCUCCUCCUUAUUAAUAGCACAAUUUCUGUUACUUCUGGCUUCCAAAAUCCUUGUGCAGAUGUGCCUCCCACCCCCCCAAGGAUCUCUCCUCUGGACUUAGAGAGAAGAGGAAAAGGCAGAUUUUGAGAAAUGAAAAUUAUUUAAGGAUGUCCCCGCUGCCUCUCUCUGCUGCCCUCCUCUGUAACACCGCAGCAUUUGCAGAAAGUAAUGCAAAAAUAAAUAAAUAACGAAAAGAAACUCCCCGGCCAGCAGAGCUGCAGAGGAGGAACCGAGGAUCCUUUCCAGGCUGUGCGGAGUCAGAGAGGAAGACUCCGUGGAGAAAGGUCCCGGUGUGGGGAAGGCUGCCGAUGGAGAUCGCUGCGGGGCUGCAAACCCUGAGCCCAAAGCAGCUCAGACCCACAGCACCGGCACAGCUGGGCCCCACGUUACGAGGCUAACCCAAGGACACCAAGGCCCAUCUUCCCAGAGCAAGGGACCAGGAGGAAAGCAGGAGGGGUGCUGCAGCUCUUUGCAAAGAUGAGACCAAAACCAACGCCAGUGUUGAUGGAUGCACUCAACUUUGCUCAGUUGAGCAGUUUCAACCCAAAGAGAUGCAGGGGGGCUCUGUUGGCACACAGACAUCAGCACAGCGCAGCAGCUGGGAUAAGGGAAUGAGCUUAAAACAAAAGGAAACCCAAUGCUGCUGACGCCAGGCCGAGUGGAUUCAGGUUCAAAAAUUAGACCUCGUCCUUCAAACAGAGAAAAGCCACAACAUGCUGAACAGAAAUACAUUCAGCAGAUUUAUUUUCCUUCCUUUCCAUAUUUAAAUGGAAGCUGCUUUAAAAUACUAAAUAAACUGAAGCAAAUUGGCACGGCGAUGAAAUUAAAUUAAAAAAAAAAGAAAAAGAAAAAGAAAAAAAAAAGUGGCUGUUCUAAUUUAAUUAGCCAAAAUAAGAACAGUGCAGGGGGGAGGAGAUGCCACCGGAACCACACGGCACUGGGAACAGAGCACUUGCUUUGCACACUGGGUAUAUUUAGAUCAAUGCCUCGUUCAGAGGUGAGGCUGUGGCGUGGCCACAGAAGGCACGGGCAGUGUGAAUCCCGGCACAGGAAGGG
Molecule: long non-coding RNA, 1122 nt
Organism: Gallus gallus (chicken)
Lineage: Eukaryota; Metazoa; Chordata; Aves; Galliformes; Phasianidae
Source: Ensembl